RNAcentral lists this ribosomal RNA (396 nucleotides) under uncultured bacterium. RNAcentral describes it as "bacterial SSU rRNA". It matches the Rfam family "Bacterial small subunit ribosomal RNA", at positions 30 to 429 of the family's 1533-position model. The record is from RNAcentral.
AUUGAACGCUGGCGGCAUGCUUUACACAUGCAAGUCGAGCGGCAGCGCGGGGGCAACCCUGGCGGCGAGCGGCGAACGGGUGAGUAAUGUAUCGGAACGUACCUUUCAGUGGGGGAUAACGUAGCGAAAGUUACGCUAAUACCGCAUAUUCUGUGAGCAGGAAAGCAGGGGAUCGCAAGACCUUGCGCUGAUUGAGCGGCCGAUAUCAGAUUAGCUAGUUGGUGAGGUAAAGGCUCACCAAGGCGACGAUCUGUAGCGGGUCUGAGAGGAUGAUCCGCCACACUGGAACUGAGACACGGUCCAGACUCCUACGGGAGGCAGCAGUGGGGAAUUUUGGACAAUGGGGGCAACCCUGAUCCAGCCAUGCCGCGUGAGUGAAGAAGGCCUGGUUGUAAG